CAGUCGCCACGGGAAUACGUAGGGUGCAAGCGUUAAUCGGAAUUACUGGGCGUAAAGCGUGCGCAGGCGGUUAUAUAAGAAAGAUGUGAAAUCCCCGGGCUCAACCUGGGAACUGCAUUUGUGACUGUAUAGCUAGAGUACGGCAGAGGGGGAUGGAAUUCCGCGUGUAGCAGUGAAAUGCGUAGAUAUGCGGAGGAACACCGAUGGCGAAGGCAAUCCCCUGGGCCUGUACUGACGCUCAUGCACGAAAGCGUGGGGAGCAAACAGGAUUAGAUACCCGCGUAGUCCCGUCUCUUAUACA
RNAcentral lists this ribosomal RNA (301 nucleotides) under uncultured bacterium. RNAcentral describes it as "partial 16S ribosomal RNA". It matches the Rfam family "Bacterial small subunit ribosomal RNA", at positions 509 to 808 of the family's 1533-position model. The record is from RNAcentral.